This is a small nucleolar RNA of Dioscorea cayenensis subsp. rotundata (Guinea yam), 139 nucleotides long. RefSeq annotates it as small nucleolar RNA Z247. Lineage: Eukaryota; Viridiplantae; Streptophyta; Magnoliopsida; Dioscoreales; Dioscoreaceae. The record is from RefSeq and is a predicted model, not a curated record. The transcript has a single exon.
CCACUUGAAGAUGAAGAGGUGAUCGCCUAUCUAUUGCGCGGUCUCGGCAGCGAGUACGACUCCCUGGUGACAAGCAUCACCACGCGCACCGACCACUACACCAUCAAUGAUGUGUAUGCUCACAUGUUGAGCUACGAGA